AUUAGAUACAAAUGGAACACACUAAGGCCACCAACAAACCAAACAGAUAUAAAGGUGUAAACUACUAGCACAAUGGAAGCAGGAGUCUUUGUCAUUGCUUUCCAAAUUGUUGUCUCCUCACUAUUCAUGAUCCUCUUGAUGUAAACCCAACAAAAUCCAUGUACAUAAAAGCAAAGAAGAGUUGCAGAGAACACAAACAUGAAGAAGAACCGGUAAUUCCUCAAUCCAAUGCAUUGACCAACCCAAGGACAGUGAUGAUCAAAUCUUUCCACACAGUUAUUACAUAUUGAACAAUGAGAACAGCGUGGAGGCCUAUAAAGCAU
Molecule: unclassified non-coding RNA, 323 nt
Filed under: Hevea brasiliensis (rubber tree)
Lineage: Eukaryota; Viridiplantae; Streptophyta; Magnoliopsida; Malpighiales; Euphorbiaceae
Source: RNAcentral